Molecule: long non-coding RNA, 1175 nt
Filed under: Pan troglodytes (chimpanzee)
Lineage: Eukaryota; Metazoa; Chordata; Mammalia; Primates; Hominidae
Description: long non-coding RNA NONPTRT016912
Source: RNAcentral
GUGGGGGCUCAGUUCUGAGGCUGUGGAGAGGUGUCGUUAACCCAAAUGUAGGAGGUGGGGGCUCAGUUCUGAGGCCGUGGAGAGGUGUCGUUAACCCAAAUGUAGGAGGUGGGGGCUCAGUUCUGAGGUCGUGGAGAGGUGAUGUUAAGAAUCUAAUUUCCUGGAGAUGAACAGCACCUCAGUGGCAUGCUCCCCAGUGACCACCUGCUGUCAGUGAGGACAGCGCCCCGGCUGUGGUAUUGGGCUUGAGAUCGACCACCUGCUGUCAGUGAGGACAACGCCCUGGCUGUCGUAUUGGGCUUGGGAUCCCACUCAUGAAACAGGCGAGUCAUGGAAGACGAAGUGCCAGGCCGUGCGGCACCAGAGUCCCACGCACAGUUGCUUUCCUGAGUGGCCUCUGCUUGGACCGAUUUGGACUGAAGCCUUGACGUUAGGUGCCUUGGUGCCCUGCAGGAUUUCCACCGUCCAGUCUCCACUUUAUGCAUUUUGAUAAUGCAAAGUAAAACAAAGUCAAAAAGGAUGAAUAAUUACAGAAUCCAAACGACUCAGAAAUGAACUUGGAGUUCAAAUCUUUAACUCCUACAUUGAGGCAGAUUCUCCGUCUGCCACAUGGUUACAUCACAGGAAGGAUUUUUAAUUUUCAGAGAAUCAUAAAGCGCAGCCCGAACAAAUCCACCUGAACGCCCUUUGUUAAGUAAAUUGGAGCGAACAGAAGCCUCAGAACUCCUGCUGCUUUCAGAAUGACUCUGGUGACCUUUUGCGCAAUUAUCCUACAGAGAAGGCAAAAUCAGCUUUGGUCCAAGAACAAAAGUUGGUCUUGUAAUCAGGGAGCUGCCUCCCUGCUGAGGUCACUGGACCCGUGCCGAACAUGGGUGUUUUGCGGGCUGCAUGGGACCACCCUGGGGCAGGGAGAAGGCCCCACCUCCACCACACAGCCUUCUGUAAACCUAAGGUAACCUCCAUUACACAGCCCUCUGCAAACGUGACCUACCCUCCACCACAGCCUUCUGCAAACCGACCCUAACCUCCACCACACAGCCCUCUGCAAACCUAACCUAACCUCCACCACACAGCCCUCUGCAAACCUAACCUAACCUCCACCACACAGCCCUCUGCAAACCUAACCUAACCUCCACACCACACAGUCCUCUGGAAACCUAACCUAACCUCCACCA